Camponotus floridanus (Florida carpenter ant) is the source of this 534-nucleotide long non-coding RNA. RefSeq lists it as uncharacterized. The record is from RefSeq and is a predicted model, not a curated record. NCBI's taxonomy places the organism in Eukaryota, Metazoa, Arthropoda, Insecta, Hymenoptera, Formicidae. The transcript has 3 exons.
AAGACAAAAAGAUUAUUAUUGUUCAAUCAGGUUUCGUACGUCAAGAAAAGUGUAUCAUUAUAGUGCUCAUGUAGUGUAAUUAUAUAGUGUACCAAAAGUGCUUCAUCAACGAGGAGUUUGAUUAAUCUUCGAUGGAUUCCAUCUAAUCUUUUGAUCACGUUGUGUACAACGCUGCCAUUGUGUGUCAGAUGCUGUUGCGCUGACAGAUCGACGGAACUGUGUCGCGAAGAAGCCACGAGGUCGACGGAAAAGUCAGGUGGCAAAACGUGUAGCUGUUAAACUUUGCUGCUGAUAUCGCCGGCCAAUGUGCUCUUUACGACGUGAGAUGGUAUGUAUCAUGGUUUAGUAUCACUACAGGAUAUUUUAUUCUUUUUUAUAGUUACGUCAUUCGUGUUUCGCGCUAUAUAAGGUUUUUCAUAACGGCAUGCUCUUUACGCGAAUCCCCGUUUCCUGUCUUGUAUGUUUUUUUUUUGCAUCUCUUUUAUCGCACUCUUCACCAAUCUUCUCUCCGUUUGUCUCACGUUUUGCAUUCAA